This 483-nucleotide ribosomal RNA is filed under the name uncultured bacterium. Its description in RNAcentral is "bacterial SSU rRNA". It matches the Rfam family "Bacterial small subunit ribosomal RNA", at positions 328 to 802 of the family's 1533-position model. The record is from RNAcentral.
AUGAAACACUCCUACGGGAGGCAGCAGUGGGGAAUUUUGGACAAUGGGCGCAAGCCUGAUCCAGCAAUGCCGCGUGCAGGAAGAAGGCCUUCGGGUUGUAAACUGCUUUUGUACGGAGCGAAACGGUCCGGGUUAAUACCCUGGGCUAAUGACGGUACCGUAAGAAUAAGCACCGGCUAACUACGUGCCAGCAGCCGCGGUAAUACGUAGGGUGCAAGCGUUAAUCGGAAUUACUGGGCGUAAAGCGUGCGCAGGCGGUUUUGUAAGACAGGCGUGAAAUCCCCGGGCUCAACCUGGGAAUUGCGCUUGUGACUGCAAGGCUAGAGUGCGGCAGAGGGGGAUGGAAUUCCGCGUGUAGCAGUGAAAUGCGUAGAUAUGCGGAGGAACACCGAUGGCGAAGGCAAUCCCCUGGGCCUGCACUGACGCUCAUGCACGAAAGCGUGGGGAGCAAACAGGAUUAGAAACCCUAGUAGUCCGAAGUUC